Molecule: ribosomal RNA, 430 nt
Filed under: uncultured bacterium
Lineage: Bacteria
Description: bacterial SSU rRNA
Rfam family: Bacterial small subunit ribosomal RNA
Source: RNAcentral
GUGGGGAAUAUUGCACAAUGGGCGAAAGCCUGAUGCAGCGACGCCGCGUGCGGGAUGAAGGCCUUCGGGUUGUAAACCGCUUUUGUUAGGGAGCAAGCGAGAGUGAGUGUACCUUUCGAAUAAGCACCGGCUAACUACGUGCCAGCAGCCGCGGUAAUACGUAGGGUGCAAGCGUUAUCCGGAAUUAUUGGGCGUAAAGAGCUCGUAGGCGGUUUGUCGCGUCUGGUGUGAAAGUCCAUCGCUUAACGGUGGAUCUGCGCCGGGUACGGGCAGGCUGGAGUGCAGUAGGGGAGACUGGAAUUCCCGGUGUAACGGUGGAAUGUGUAGAUAUCGGGAAGAACACCAAUGGCGAAGGCAGGUCUCUGGGCUGUUACUGACGCUGAGGAGCGAAAGCGUGGGGAGCGAACAGGAUUAGAUACCCCUGUAGUCC